UUCCGGUUGAUCCUGCCGGAAGUCACUGCUAUUGGGAUUCGACUAAGCCAUGCGAGUCGAGAGGGUUCGGCCCUCGGCGAACUGCUCAGUAACACGUGGAUAAUUUGCCCUUAGGUGAGGAUAACCUCGGGAAACUGAGAAUAAUACUCCAUAGGUCUAGGAUGCUGGAAUGCACCUAGGUUGAAAGUUCCGGCGCCUAAGGACGAGUCUGCGGACUAUCAGGUAGUAGUCAGGGUAAAGACCUGACUAGCCUACGACGGAUACGGGUUGUGAGAGCAAUAGCCCGGAGACGAUAUCUGAGACACGAUAUCGGGCCCUACGGGGCGCAGCAGGCGCGAAAUCUUCACAAUGUGCGAAAGCACGAUGAGGGGAUCCCAAGUGUUGGCUCGUAAGAGUCAUCUGUUUCUUUGUCUAAAAAACAGAGAGAGUAAGAGCUGGGUAAGACGGGUGCCAGCCGCCGCGGUAAUACCUGCAGCUCAAGUGGUGGCCGCUAUUAUUGGGCCUAAAACGUCCGUAGCCGGUUUAGUAAAUGCCUGGGUAAAUUGUGUAGCUCAACUAUACGAAUACCGGGUAGACUGCUAAACUUGGAACCGGGAGAGGCUAGAGGUACUCCUAGGGUAGAGGUGAAAUUCUGUAAUCCUAGGGGGACCACCAGUGGCGAAGGCGUCUAGCUAGAACGGGUUUGACGGUGAGGGACGAAGCCCUGGGGCGCAAACCGGAUUAGAUACCCGGGUAGUCCAGGGUGUAAACGCUGCUCGCUUGAUGUUAGUCGGGCUCCGAGCCCAACUAGUGUCGGAGAGAAGUUGUUAAGCGAGCUGCCUGGGAAGUACUGGUCGCAAGGCUGAAACUUAAAGGAUUUGGCGGGGG
RNAcentral lists this ribosomal RNA (867 nucleotides) under uncultured archaeon. Its description in RNAcentral is "bacterial SSU rRNA". It matches the Rfam family "Archaeal small subunit ribosomal RNA", at positions 1 to 874 of the family's 1478-position model. The record is from RNAcentral.